This 418-nucleotide ribosomal RNA is filed under the name Pinalitus oromii. RNAcentral describes it as "partial 12S ribosomal RNA". Lineage: Eukaryota; Metazoa; Arthropoda; Insecta; Hemiptera; Miridae. The record is from RNAcentral.
AAACUAGGAUUAGAUACCCUAUUAUUUUAACUGUAAAAUGUCAACCUAAUUAGUAUUAGAUACGAUCUUUAAAUUUAAAGAAUUUGGCGGUAAUUUAACUUUUCAGAGGAACCUGUCCUGUAAUUGAUAAUCCACAAUAAAUUUUACUUUUAUUAUGUUUAUAUAUCUCUAUCAUUGAAUGUCUUUUGAAGGAAAUUUUCUAAAUGAUUUUUUAAUCAAAAUGUUAGGUCAAGGUUUAAUAAUAUAAAAGUAGAGAUGGGUUACAUUAUUUUUAUAUGAGGAAAAUUAUAUGGAAAUAUAUUUGAAUUUGGAUUUGAUAGUAAAUUAUUUUAAAAUAAAUAUUUGAUAUUAGCUCUAUAUUAUGCACACAUCGCCCGUCGCUCUCAAUAUANUAUUGAGAUAAGUCGUAACAUAGUAA